UAUGAUCUAAUUAUUUGUACUUUCGAUUUAUUUAACAACAUUAGUGAUUCUUCGAUAAAUUUAUUGCAUUUUCAAAUAUAAUACAAACGUUUCUCGCAACCAUAAUAUUGUGUUAACUAUUGAAUUAACUGAAGCCAAGGUGUACCGUAACAAUCGAUUUCCUUGUAAUCGAUAAGUCCUAGCGGUGUCGGUUGUGCGGCUUCGUCCCGCGUUUUCACGUGGACGCGUUUAUACACGAUCAGUCGGGGACGUGAUUUUGACCGGAAACGUUUGUGAUACAGAAUCGAAAGUUGUCAAUCGGAUACAGUGCGAAUCGAAUGUUUACAUUGUAACGGCGACGGACAGAUUCGACAGUCGGCGAAUUGCGACGCGUGCAGUUCCUUCGGGAUAACUUGAGGAUCUAUUUUCGCCGUUGAAAUGCGCGCGGGAACACGUUCGCGGCGGGUUUCUCGAACCGUAGUGCUUUAGUACGGCCAGUCUCUCCGCUUCGUGCAGAACUUCGCCGAUCCCGGAAUAGUUUUCGGCGGUUGCUCCGUUAAAGUUUUUCGUGUGGCCGUCGCACAGGCCAAUCUGCAGUCGUUUGCUCGCGAUUUUACCGUACAUAACCCCGAAAACAGUUGUGUGUGAAUCGGUCAACUCCGCGUAAAAGUAUCGUUUCUCGAUUUCUUUCGGACGGUUCGCUUGCUUUAACGGUCGUUCACCCUGGAAGCUGAUACGGAGAACACGAGGAUGGAUGCCACGGACGUCCUCGGUCCUGACGCUUCGUCGGGAAACGACGAGGGUGUUCUGAACAACAACGAAAACGAUGAUGCGCCUACCGUUGAGGAGACGUACGAGGUCACCACCACGAAGCGUAAAACCAUUCGGACCAGCUAUAAGAUCCAAGAAACUUCUGCAUCAACCAAAACAACCACCAUGACUACUGCAGCUAAAUUAUAUGGCAAAGAUCUGAGUGAAUACGAUGAUGUUGAUGUGGAUGAAUUAUUGGCACAACUGACUCCAGAGGAAAUUAAUAUGUUAGCCAAGGAAGUGGAUCCCGACGACAGUUUUAUGCCACCAUCACAACGUUGUAGUUACGAAUGUGACAAGAGUCCAACAGGACCGCUAAAUCGUAAGAAACUAAUUGAACACAUCAACAAACAGGCUUUAGAGACACCAGAUAUACCAGAAUUAAAGCCCUAUGUUCCUGGUGUUAUUAGAGGCAAGAAGUGGGUUCCACCACCUCAAGAAACGGUAAAAGAAAAAGAAGCAGACGAACAAAUUGCUAUUGAUCUUGGAGAUGAAUAUGAGCAUGCAUUAUCAAAUGCUACUCAAGAAGAAAUCAUUGAUCUUGCUGCUAUUCUUGGAUUCCAUUCCAUGAUGAAUCAAGACCAGUAUCAUGCCUCUCUGUUAAAUUCUGGCCAGCCUGUUGGUUUGGGUUGGGAUGGAAUUACCAAAGCUAGUCAACCAAAACCUUAUCCAAUGGAACCACCUAACGAUACAGAUGUUGAUGCUACUAUUAAACAAGUUCGAGAAGAUGAUGUCUCAUUGACUGAUUUAAAUUGGAAUAACAUUAAAAACAUAUCCGACGAAAAAUUCGUUCAGCUGUUCGAAGGACUGGAGAUGAAUACACAUCUCGAAUCAUUAAGUUUAACGAACGUGGGACUUACCGAUAAGACUGCACAAAGGUUGGCAGAAGCCUUAGAGAAGAAUUCUACGCUCAGAGUACUCAAUGUGGAAACAAACUUUAUAAGCCCAUCUGUGAUAGUGAGGCUCAUUAGAGCACUACUUAAAACGAAAUCAAUAGAAGAAUUUCGAUGUUCGAAUCAGAGGUCACAGGUAUUGGGAAAUAAAAUUGAAAUGGAAAUCACACAAUUGGUAGAAGAAAACCCAACGUUGCUACGACUUGGCCUUCAUUUGGAAUUUAACGAUGCUAGACAUCGUGUGGCUGCACAUCUGCAACGCAACAUUGAUAGGAUACGGCAGUCCCGGCUCGGGGUGGCGACAUCUUAACGCGAAGUGGCGUUCGCCUAGCAGAGAGCAAAGUGCGACAUCUGCGGUUUUCGUAAGUCAGCAAUCGGAACAGAAGGAAGAGCCGAGGAACCAUGAAGAGGUGGUAGAGAAGCGAAGAGAGGAGAAUGCCACCUCUUUGGGCACUAACCUGUGGUACUAACUAACGAACUUUCACGGUCCAACGCCCACUAGCAGAGUAAUUAGCCUAGCUAACGAGCGAUCGUUAUACGAAACCGCGGUGCCGCGGAAAAGUCAACGAUCUACACCUCACAAUGAUCGAAGAUCCAUUGUUCUCGACACAAUUCCUGUCCUUGUGAAUCAAGAGCAUCCGAUCGGUGGAAAUAUUGAGCGUCGAACGUAGGGUAUGUCAUGAUAUUCGUGAUGGAAAUGUAGUGAUCAUAUUGCUGCUACGGACAGGAGCUUAAAUCACGAGAGAUGUACUUGAAAUACCCCACCUUCAAUAAUAAACUGAAACAAAUUUACAGA
Molecule: unclassified non-coding RNA, 2478 nt
Filed under: Megachile rotundata (alfalfa leafcutting bee)
Lineage: Eukaryota; Metazoa; Arthropoda; Insecta; Hymenoptera; Megachilidae
Description: tropomodulin, transcript variant X12
Source: RNAcentral